AUGCUGGAAAGGCUUCUCUUCUACUGCCCCGACGGCGAGUUCACCGCACUCCGGACGCUGUCCAUCUCCUACGGCCUGGGCGGCCUCCACAGCUUGCUCCCACGAUGCCCGCACCUCCGCGUGCUCAGCCUCAAGUUUGUCAACGAUGGCUUCGGGCUUGUCCAGAAUGGCUUGAUCUCACUCCACUUGCCAUCGCUGCAGGAACUUUUCCUUGAAACCCGCAUACUACACACAGAUGCAGUCGACAUCGUCGCCCCUCUGCUGCAGCGAUUGACGGUGUCUGUAGGCGCUUACAAGGUGGUCAGCGGCAUCUCCGUCUCGGCGCCAAUGCUGGGGAAGGUGUCGUGGGAGUGGUGGUAUUUCGAGGCCGGGAGCAUUGUCCAGUUUGGUCCUUGGAGACUCGGGAGGUUGUGGGUACACACAGGAGAGAGACAGGAACAGCUUCAUUCGCUCCACGUUCAUGCAUCCCAUAGCUGGUUUAUUUCCAAUGAAGACAACUUUGCGCAGGAGGUAGAGAAGCACAUGGUUGUUGAUUUCUCUCUUUUGGAGCUACGUCUCCUAAAAGCCGGACAUGUUUUUGGAGCACUGCUGUUUCAUCUCCUCGGGAUUACUCGUAUUUCUAGAGGUCUACAGAGGCUUAAGAUCGUCCUAGAGAGAUCGCUGCUGAAAGGAAAAUGCCCGCCACACUGUCCAUGUGAACCCACAAACUGGAGAUCUCAAACUAUCUCCUUGACUGCUCUCGAAGAAGUGGAAAUCAAUGGCUUCGAAGGACAGGAACAUGAGUUUGAUUUACUGGAAUUAAUACUCAAAUGUGCGACAGUGCUUAAAAAAUGA
RNAcentral lists this ribosomal RNA (834 nucleotides) under Triticum aestivum (bread wheat). RNAcentral describes it as "partial small subunit ribosomal RNA". The record is from RNAcentral. Lineage: Eukaryota; Viridiplantae; Streptophyta; Magnoliopsida; Poales; Poaceae.